Molecule: ribosomal RNA, 497 nt
Filed under: uncultured bacterium
Lineage: Bacteria
Description: partial 16S ribosomal RNA
Rfam family: Bacterial small subunit ribosomal RNA
Source: RNAcentral
GAUGAACGCUGGCGGCGUGCCUAAUACAUGCAAGUCGAGCGAACGGACGAGAAGCUUGCUUCUCUGAUGUUAGCGGCGGAAGGGUGAGUAAAACGUGGAUAACCUACCUAUAAGACUGGGAUAACUUCGGGAAACCGGAGCUAAUACCGGAUGAUAUUUUGAACCGCAUGGUUCAAAAGUGAAAGACGGUCUUGCUGUCACUUAUAGAUGGAUCCGCGCUGCAUUAGCUAGUUGGUAAGGUAACGGCUUACCAAGGCAACGAUGCAUAGCCGACCUGAGAGGGUGAUCGGCCACACUGGAACUGAGACACGGUCCAGACUCCUACGGGAGGCAGCAGUAGGGAAUCUUCCGCAAUGGGCGAAAGCCUGACGGAGCAACGCCGCGUGAGUGAUGAAGGUCUUCGGAUCGUAAAACUCUGUUAUUAGGGAAGAACAUAUGUGUAAGUAACUGUGCACAUCUUGACGGUACCUAAUCAGAAAGCCACGGCUAACUACGUG